AUACGGAGGGUGCAAGCGUUGUUCGGAAUUAUUGGGCGUAAAGAGCAUGUAGGCGGUUCGUUAAGUCUGAUGUGAAAGCCCGGGGCUCAACCCCGGAAGUGCAUUGGAUACUGGCGAACUUGAGUACGGGAGAGGAAAGUGGAAUUUCGAGUGUAGGGGUGAAAUCCGUAGAUAUUCGAAGGAACACCAGUGGCGAAGGCGGCUUUCUGGACCGAUACUGACGCUGAGAUGCGAAAGCGUGGGGAGCAAACAGGAUUAGAUACCCCAGUAGUCC
Molecule: ribosomal RNA, 274 nt
Filed under: uncultured bacterium
Lineage: Bacteria
Description: partial 16S ribosomal RNA
Rfam family: Bacterial small subunit ribosomal RNA
Source: RNAcentral